UCCCUUAGGUGUUCUGGGCCGCACGCGCGCUACACUGACGAUGGCAACGAGUUUUUCCUUCGCCGAAAGGUGUGGGUAAUCUUUUGAAACAUCGUCGUGCUGGGGAUAGAUCAUUGCAAUUUUUGAUCUUGAACGAGGAAUUCCUAGUAAGCGCGAGUCAUCAGCUCGCGUUGAUUACGUCCCUGCCCUUUGUACACACCGCCCGUCGCUCCUACCGAUUGAGUGGUCCGGUGAGGCUUUGGGAUCUGAGCGGAAAGAGCGUUUCGCUGUUUCUGCUCGGAAAACUCAGUCGAACCUUAUCAUUUAGAGGAAGGAGAAGUCGUAACA
Molecule: ribosomal RNA, 327 nt
Filed under: uncultured eukaryote
Lineage: Eukaryota
Description: partial 18S ribosomal RNA
Rfam family: Eukaryotic small subunit ribosomal RNA
Source: RNAcentral